This is a small nuclear RNA of Elaeis guineensis (African oil palm), 108 nucleotides long. Lineage: Eukaryota; Viridiplantae; Streptophyta; Magnoliopsida; Arecales; Arecaceae. The record is from RefSeq and is a predicted model, not a curated record.
CAGCCAUCAAAAGCUAAUCCGAAACUAAAUUGGAACAAUACAGAAAAGAUUAGCAUGGCUCUUGCACAAGAAUGACAUCCGCAAAUUAAUGAACUAAAUUAGUUAUAU